Molecule: ribosomal RNA, 253 nt
Filed under: uncultured bacterium
Lineage: Bacteria
Description: partial 16S ribosomal RNA
Rfam family: Bacterial small subunit ribosomal RNA
Source: RNAcentral
UACGGGGGGGGCAAGCGUUGUUCGGAAUUACUGGGCGUAAAGGGCUCGUAGGCGGCCAACUAAGUCGGACGUGAAAUCCCUCGGCUUAACCGGGGAACUGCGUCUGAUACUGGAUGGCUUGAGUUUGGGAGAGGGAUGCGGAAUUCCAGGUGUAGCGGUGAAAUGCGUAGAUAUCGUAAGGAAGACCAGUGGCGAAGGCGGGUCUCUGGACAGUUCCUGACGCUGAAGCACGAAGGCCAGGGGAGCAAACGGG